This 492-nucleotide ribosomal RNA is filed under the name uncultured bacterium. RNAcentral describes it as "partial 16S ribosomal RNA". It matches the Rfam family "Bacterial small subunit ribosomal RNA", at positions 29 to 507 of the family's 1533-position model. The record is from RNAcentral.
AGUGAACGCUGGCGGUAGGCCUAACACAUGCAAGUCGAACGGCAGCACAGUAAGAGCUUGCUCUUACGGGUGGCGAGUGGCGGACGGGUGAGGAAUACAUCGGAAUCUACUUUUUCGUGGGGGAUAACGUAGGGAAACUUACGCUAAUACCGCAUACGACCUACGGGUGAAAGCAGGGGAUCUUCGGACCUUGCGCGAUUGAAUGAGCCGAUGUCGGAUUAGCUAGUUGGCGGGGUAAAGGCCCACCAAGGCGACGAUCCGUAGCUGGUCUGAGAGGAUGAUCAGCCACACUGGAACUGAAACACGGACCAGACUCCUAAGGGAGGCAGCAGUGGGGAAUAGUGGACAAUGGGCGCAAGCCUGAUCCAGCCAUACCGCGUGGGUGAAGAAGGCCUUCGGGUUGUAAAGCCCUUUUGUUGGGAAAGAAAAGCAGCAGGUUAAUACCCCGCUGUUCUGACGGUACCCAAAGAAUAAGCACCGGCUAACUUCGUG